Molecule: ribosomal RNA, 274 nt
Filed under: uncultured bacterium
Lineage: Bacteria
Description: partial 16S ribosomal RNA
Rfam family: Bacterial small subunit ribosomal RNA
Source: RNAcentral
AUACGGAGGGUGCAAGCGUUACUCGGAAUCACUGGGCGUAAAGCGCGCGCAGGCGGGCUGAUAAGUUGGAUGUGAAAGCCUACGGCUCAACCGUCGAACUGCAUCCAAAACUGUCAGUCUAGAGUGUGGGAGAGGAAGAUGGAAUUAGUUGUGUAGGGGUAAAAUCCGUAGAGAUAACUAGGAAUACCAAAAGCGAAGGCAAUCUUCUGGAACACUACUGACGCUGAGGCGCGAAGGCGUGGGGAGCAAACAGGAUUAGAAACCCCAGUAGUCC